GCUGGGAUAGCUCAGCCGGUAGAGCAUGAGACUCUUAAUCUCAGGGUUAUGGGUUCAAGCCCCACCUCGGGCA
Non-coding RNA from Podarcis lilfordi (Lilford's wall lizard), 73 nucleotides. Lineage: Eukaryota; Metazoa; Chordata; Lepidosauria; Squamata; Lacertidae. The record is from the annotation of a GenBank genome assembly.